GACGAACGCUGGCGGCGUGCUUAACACAUGCAAGUCGAACGGAAAGGCCCUGCUUUUGUGGGGUUCUCGAGUGGCGAACGGGUGAGUAACACGUGAGUAACCUCCCCUUGACUUUGGGAUACCUUCAGGAAACUGGGGCUAAUACCGGAUAGGCGCUCCUGCUGCAUGUUGGGGGUUGGAAAUUUUCGGCGGUGGAGGAUUGACUCGCGGCUUAUCAGCUUGUUGGUGGGGUAAUGGCCUACCCAGGCUUUGACGGGUAGCCGGCCUGAGAGGGUGGACGGGCACAAUGGGGCUGAGAUACGGGCCAGACUCCUACGGGGGGCAAGAGUGGGGAAUAUUGCACAAUGGGCGCAAGGCUGAUGCAGCGACGCCGCGGGGGGGAUGACGGGCUUCGGGGUGGAAACUCGUUUCGCUAGGGACGGAGCUGUUUGUGACGGUACCUAGAUAAGAAGCACCGGCUAACUACGUG
Molecule: ribosomal RNA, 469 nt
Filed under: uncultured bacterium
Lineage: Bacteria
Description: partial 16S ribosomal RNA
Rfam family: Bacterial small subunit ribosomal RNA
Source: RNAcentral